AAAGAGAAAGAAAUAAGUGAGACCAGUGAAUCUGUGAAAACCAAAAUGUCUGAACUUCACCUCUACUGUGACUUCCUAAUUUAGCAGGUUCAUACAAUCCAGGAAUUUGUUCACCAUGAUAAGAAUCAUUCAUCUCCCAGUGUAGCGAACAUGAAUGAAGCCUCUUCCUUGCUUAGUGCCACCUGUAAUAAAUACAUUCAUCACAAACCUCAAGGAAUGUGUGAAGAUAGUGAAUGUCAAGUUUAAACCUGAAAUGCUUCAACUGCCUCAUCUGCAUCCCCUAGUCUCUCCUGUGUCUCCUUCUCCUGUUCAGAUGAUGAGACGUUCAUUCAGCCACCCUGGUCUCUGCAGUUCCAAGAGGACCAGAUGCUCUAUCAAAGAACCAGCGUCUGUCCUUCACCGACUUCCUAAGCGAUGCCGCAGAACUUCCUCCUACACAGUCUCUUGUAAUGAUGUUCCCCCUGAGGACCCAGAGAGACUCCUUCACUGUUCAGGAAACACACUUAAUGGAGAUUUUGCAUCAGCAGCCAUUCCGGAAGAAAGCAGACUUAUGGCCAAGACAAAAUCUGAAUCUGAAAAACCUCUUCCACCCUUCUCC
RNAcentral lists this long non-coding RNA (598 nucleotides) under Mus musculus (house mouse). RNAcentral describes it as "long non-coding RNA chr4:72893780-72894378". The record is from RNAcentral. Lineage: Eukaryota; Metazoa; Chordata; Mammalia; Rodentia; Muridae.